ACUGCAGUCGUGGGGCAGCGCAGUGUAGCAAUACAUGGGCGGCGACCGGCAAACGGGUGCGGAACACGUACGCAACCUUCCUUUAAGUGGGGGAUAGCCCAGGGAAACUUGGAUUAAUACCCCGUAAUAUUACGGAGUGGCAUCACUUUUUAAUUAUAGCAGCAAUGCGCUUGAAGAUGGGCGUGCGCCUGAUUAGGUAGUUGGCGGGGUAACGGCCCACCAAGCCUUCGAUCAGUAACUGGUGUGAGAGCACGACCAGUCACACGGGCACUGAGACACGGGCCCGACUCCUACGGGAGGCAGCAGUAAGGAAUAUUGGUCAAUGGACGAAAGUCUGAACCAGCCAUGCCGCGUGGAGGAUGAAGGUCCUCUGGAUUGUAAACUUCUUUUAUUUGGGAAGAAACCCACGAUUUCUAUUGUGGUUGACGGUACCAGAUGAAUAAGCACCGGCUAACUCCGUGCCAGCAGCCGCGGUAAUACGGAGGGUGCAAGCGUUAUCCGGAUUCACUGGGUUUAAAGGGUGCGUAGGCGGGCAGGUAAGUCAGUGGUGAAAUCCCCGAGCUUAACUUGGGAACUGCCGUUGAUACUAUCUGUCUUGAAUACUAUGGAGGUAAGCGGAAUAUGUCAUGUAGCGGUGAAAUGCUUAGAUAUGACAUAGAACACCAAUUGCGAAGGCAGCUUGCUACACAGUUAUUGACGCUGAGGCACGAAAGCGUGGGGAUCAAACAGGAUUAGAUACCCUGGUAGU
RNAcentral lists this ribosomal RNA (748 nucleotides) under uncultured bacterium. RNAcentral describes it as "bacterial SSU rRNA". It matches the Rfam family "Bacterial small subunit ribosomal RNA", at positions 53 to 794 of the family's 1533-position model. The record is from RNAcentral.